Long non-coding RNA from Nematostella vectensis (starlet sea anemone), 377 nucleotides. RefSeq lists it as uncharacterized. Lineage: Eukaryota; Metazoa; Cnidaria; Anthozoa; Actiniaria; Edwardsiidae. The transcript has 2 exons. The record is from RefSeq and is a predicted model, not a curated record.
CCUACGUUUGCGAGCUAAAACUGGAUCCAGCACGGGUAACGAUAAAACGGGAAUUUGACUUGAGAUUUCACAGCGUGAAACAGAGUUUUCAAUACAGCAAACAUGACCCUGGAGUUCCAGAAAGCGGAGCAGGGAACUUCGAUUGGAGGCCAUCGUAUCGUCACGCUUCAAUGACCGAGUGCUCGGAACACACGUUACGCUAACUCCCAGACUUCCAAUCGCGCAAGGUGGAAUUAAAACUUGAUGUUUGUUUUCCUUUUACACUUUUCGCUCUAGUUCAAAUAAUUUUCCUUUUUUUUUUCUCAGAAUAUACGAAAAUACGCGGUAUUCGUAUGUACCUGGUGUUCACUAUAAAGAAAUGAAUUAUCCUUUUCUCA